Molecule: ribosomal RNA, 445 nt
Filed under: uncultured bacterium
Lineage: Bacteria
Description: partial 16S ribosomal RNA
Rfam family: Bacterial small subunit ribosomal RNA
Source: RNAcentral
GUAGGGAAUAUUGGGCAAUGGAUGCAAGUCUGACACAGCCAUCCCGCGUGCCGGAAGAAGGCCCUCAGGGUUGUAAACGGCUUUUGACGGUGAAGAAUCGACAGGAUGCGUCCUGUUUUGACGGUAGCCGUUGAAUAAGCACCGGCUAACUCCGUGCCAGCAGCCGCGGUAAUACGGAGGGUGCGAGCGUUGUCCGGAUUUAUUGGGUUUAAAGGGUGCGUAGGCUGGAAGGUCAGUCAGCGGUGAAAAGCUGUCGCUUAACGAUAGUCUUGCCGCAGAUACUUCCGUUCUUGGAUGAGGAGGAGGCCACUGGAACGGAUGGUGUAGCGGUGAAAUGCAUAGAUAUCAUCCAGAACACCGAUUGCGAAGGCAGGUGGCUGUACCUUAAUCGACGCUGAUGCACGAAAGCAUGGGGAGCAAACAGGAUUAGAAACCCGGGUAGUCC